Molecule: long non-coding RNA, 274 nt
Filed under: Oryza brachyantha (malo sina)
Lineage: Eukaryota; Viridiplantae; Streptophyta; Magnoliopsida; Poales; Poaceae
Description: long non-coding RNA (OBRA_LNC000070)
Source: RNAcentral
UCCUUUCUCUCUCCUCCCGUUCCGCAUCCUUCUCCUUUUGCACCGGCCGCCGUCGAUCGCCGCCGGAGGUGAGAGUGAGCUUAGCUGAGGUGAGGUGAGGUGGCCUUGAUCUCGAGCGGAGCCCGGGGCUAAUCACGAUUUGGCUAAACUUAACCGCGCUAUUAUUAGUGGUUGUUAAACUCACGCGCGCCACGAAGAGGAGGAGGAGAGAGAGUGGGGGCGUGGAGGCGCGGAGGAGGAGGAGGAGGCUAUGGAGGCCCUGAGGUUCGUGCGC